RNAcentral lists this ribosomal RNA (297 nucleotides) under Parastagmatoptera sp. MN125. RNAcentral describes it as "partial 12S ribosomal RNA". Lineage: Eukaryota; Metazoa; Arthropoda; Insecta; Mantodea; Mantidae. The record is from RNAcentral.
CCUAUUAUUUUUGUUGUAAAAUUUUAAGUCAGAGUAUUAUUUGUUAUAGUCUUGAAACUUAAAGAAUUUGGCGGUAUUAUAGUCUAUUUAGAGGAAUCUGUUAUGUAAUUGAUAAUCCACGUAGAACCUUACUUAUAUUAGUUCUUGUACACCACUGUUUGAGAAUAUACUUUUAGGUAAAUUUUCAAAAUAUAAAAAUAAAUAAUAUUUCAAGUCAAGGUGCAGUUAUAUAUAAGUUGAAGUAAUGGAUUACAAUAAAUUUUAUUUAUUAUGAAUUAUUAUUGUAAGAUAAUUUGA